RNAcentral lists this long non-coding RNA (433 nucleotides) under Mus caroli (Ryukyu mouse). RNAcentral describes it as "lncRNA (MGP_CAROLIEiJ_G0002903.1)". Lineage: Eukaryota; Metazoa; Chordata; Mammalia; Rodentia; Muridae. The record is from RNAcentral.
UGCUUCCGGUAGUUCUUGGUGGGUUUGGGAACGGGGUUGGCGGAUGCCAGAACUCCCAGUGCAGAACCUUACGGCGUGGAGCGCCGCGAGGGAGCCGGUUCUUCCGCCAUAGAACACCAGGCCUUUCUCGAGACCUCUGACCUUUCACUGGGCGAGACGGCCGCGAGUCCCACGCAUGCUCAGUACUUCCGAGUGGGCCUUGGCGCUCAGUGAACAGUCUGUGCUUCCGUAUUGUUGUGAACAUCAGGGCAGCAGUUCUGGUCACCUGGAUUUAUAAACACCAAGAAGUAGCAACAGCCAGUGUGCAUGUCACUGACAACCCGAAUCACCAAAAAUCUUACUGAGAACCCAUUAGCUCCUUGAAUUAAAGAUUCUUUUGUGAAAAGAGGCUUGAUUGUCUUGUUCUGCACCUGAAAUAAAGCGUUUCCCAUUC